Long non-coding RNA from Quercus lobata, 3527 nucleotides. RefSeq lists it as uncharacterized. The record is from RefSeq and is a predicted model, not a curated record. The transcript has 3 exons. Lineage: Eukaryota; Viridiplantae; Streptophyta; Magnoliopsida; Fagales; Fagaceae.
CCCAAUCAAAAGUCAAGCUCAUUCUAACUUCAAUUUCUCUUCGUAUGAAUACUCUUAACACUAACGCUUGCGUUACAGAGAUAGAGAAGGAGGAAAAAAAAAAAAAAAAAAAACCUUGCGAUACAGAGAUGAGAAGGAGACAGAGUUCAUACCCGUCACUGUCCGUUCCCUUGCCAGAAUUAUACCACUCGAACCAGAGGUAACCUAAAGGUGCACGCAGGAAUUGAGAUACAGACAUAGAGAGAACUACCACCGGUUUGGAGAUGGCAAAGAUAGAGAAAUAAGAGAGAAUCUGAAUUCGUUAUUUGGAAAGAGCAUUGGUAACAAGAGAAAUCUAACAUCUUCUUGUCAGAACGCCAGAAACCUUUAUCGGGUGAUACUAUUGCACUUCCCUUUUUUUUUGGUGGCAACACAAAGGUAAGAUUCUGUGAAGGCACCAAUUAGUUAACCCUUUUGAAAGUUUUUAUUUUUUAUAUUUACUUCAAAUAUUUAUUUGUUUGCCUUUUGUUUCAAUGCGUAAAACAAAUCAUAGUUAUUCAUCACAUAUGUAAAUAAGAGAAGCGUUACAUUAAUGAUAGUAGCUGUGGUGAUAGAGUUAGGGGUGGUGGAUAUCAUUGCAGUGCUAGCAACAUGGUGUGAAAGAGAUUUAGGAUGGUCAUGGAGAGAGCAAUUAUUUAGAGGUUAUCAAUCUGGUGAUUGUUAUUGUAGUUUUCGGUAGUGUUGAAGAUAAGGAAGAGAUUGCUUGAGGCAUUGGAGGAGAUAUUCUUCAUGGUUGAGCUCCAUAUAGAAUUUUCUAAUGUUCUUUCACUAUUAGAUUUUUAUUACUGUAGGGACCUGUUUCGAGUGUAUGAUUUUUUGAAAUUAUGUUCUAGCCCAUGCAUGACAGGAAAUUUGAUGGGUUUAAUCUUUGAUCUCAGAAAUAUAAAUAAGAAACAUUUAAUAUUUUUCUUUGUUUGGUUUGUUGGUGCUGAGAUGUAAACAUUUAAGAUUUUUUGUUUGGCUGAGGAGGGUCACUUUGUCAAGAGUGUAGUAAAUAUGUGGUUCUAGACUUUAGCUCUGUUCUCAUUGCUUUUAAUUCAUACUUAGAAUAGUUUGAAUUUGUUGGCUUUCUUUUAUUUAGGAUUUAGGAUUGAGAUUGGAAAGUGUAUUUAAUUGAGUUAUUACCAAAGAUGGGCUAUAUUAUCCAGUUGCAGACACCUAACAAAAAUUGAUGUUAUUUCUAAAUUACAAUUAAAUACCUAAAUAUGUUAAAUUAGUUGUUUAUUAAAACCCAUUACAAAAAUCAUUGUUAUUGGAGUUUUAGAAUGGUGGAUAAACCUGCGAUUUUCAUAAGAUUUGUUAUUGUUUCUGACCUCAACUCAAAUAAACUUCAAUUCUAAAUAUUCUAAAGUAAUAUGUUUACAUAUGUUGAUGUGGGUCAUGGGUUUGUAUAUUAGGUCGUUCUUUCAGUUGGGUUUGUGUUUGAACAACUUUUAGUGAGUUCGUUUGGGUGUUAUGAACACAUAUUUCUAUCUCUCUUUUUCAUCCUUUUCUAUUAAUAUCAAUUUGUGUGUAAUAUAUUGUAGAUUAAAUAGUUUUUACUGAUGUAUCUUAGUCAUUGGUAGCUUGGGGGAGGUUUGAUAUUUUGGGUCUUCUAAGAUAGAAGUUCAAUAGCAGUUUUGGGUAAAUGGGGACAACCAAAGCUACAAUGGACAUAGAUUAUGAAUCAAUCUUUUUCGGUGAUGUUAACAACUACACCAUUGUUCAAAUGAACUCACAAAACUCCAGGUAUGAACUAAAGAUUUUGAGAUAAAUGAUAUGGUCUCCAUGUAUCUUUUAGUUUUGUUUUUACUUUUUCCAUUCCACUUAUCUUUCAACCUUGCAGUGCCAUGACAACACAAUUGAAGAGCUCAUCACAAAUAGCUUACAACGUUGACAUUGUCCUCUUUAGCAAUUAGAUUGGCCAAAUGAAUACGAAGAAAGGUGCAUCAUAGACAACAGUACCUAAUCUUUCUCCCUCUCUUUUCGGUAUUGGAACACCAUUUUUUCAUUUUUUUUUUUUUUCCUUUUGGGUUUUCAAUUUUGGCGGAUUAUUAUUGGAACACCAGUGUUUGAAGAAAUGCUUAAACUGAACUUUGGAUUGGAUAUGUGGAACCCAAUUGUUUAUGCACGGACAAUGCUAUUUACAGAUUUCUUUUAAAUUUUGUUGUGAAUUGUGAUAUCAAUAUUUGGUUAAGUAUAUGUAUGUGGGAUUGGCCUAUGUAUGCUCAACAUACAUAUUCAUAUUGGUAUAUUUAAUUUGUGUUUGCCAAUUGGGUUUGUGUAUGACCUUGGGUUCUUGCUGUCUAAUUGUUACUUUCUCUCUCAAAAGGCUAAAUACUUUGUUAUGUUGAGUUAUUUGGGUUUUGUUUGAAUGAUUUUUGCUGUUUUUUAUAGGUAAACUUUGGCAUUGGUAAUUACUAUUAUUAUUAUUAUUUAAUUUUCUAUUAAUAAAGCAUAUUUACACUCAAAAGUUGUUGGGUUAGUAAGUGAAGGGUUCCAUCCUACCUUUUUGUUAUUAAUUUUUGACGAUUUCUAAGUUAUUCUUUAUGUUGGUGCUAUUUAUCAAUUUUUUUUUGAGAUUGCUUGGAAUGAAAGAUUAUGGGUGAGAAAGUUGGAUACUUUUAACCCAAUUUUGUUGGGUAAGCAAUUUUGGAGAUUUGAGCAGGAAAGAAAUCAGAUCACCAUUGGAAGUGAGUUUCUUGUAUGGGAAGGUUAGGGACAAUUGACAUAGGAUUUAGCAAUUGCAACCUUUGGAGAAACAAAAAGGUAGGAUGGGAUAGAUUUGCAGGACAUGUGACUUUUGUUAUUGGGGAUUGUAGAAAAACAAGAUGUGAAAAUUGACUGGGAGACCAUAUGCAACAAGAGCAUGAUUUCAUAUCAGUAGGUUAACUAUUUGGAUGAGCUCACAUUUUGCUGAUUUUUUUAAUUCUUGCAGAUUACUAUUGGCAAUGGUAUUUUGCUUAUAAAUCUGAUGCCUAAUAUCAACCUAUGUUAGUAAUUCUAUUCAUGAUUCUCACGGUGUUAAAAAUAGGAAAGUGAGAUACUUUUUUUUAUGCUACCCAUAGGACAGAACAUUCAAAGCAUUUUUAGAAUUACUAUAAAUGAAUUGUAUAUUUUGAGAGUGUGAGAGACCUAUGUGUUGUCGUUGAUGAUAAAGACAGUUAUGUAAGUCAGAUAUGUAUAGUUGGCCCAUUUGGUUGGUGAUGAAAUCUAGGAAUGUUUAGUUUUAUGACUAUGACAUUGAAAUUUGCUAUCAAUUCAUUAAUAUUUUUUCUCAAAAUUGUGUAGCUUUCAUGAUGUUCAAUAAUUUUAUCUUAUCUAUAUAUAUAUAUUAUAAAACUGAAGCCUUUGACUUUCGAUUGACUUCAUAAUAUGAUGCUACGUUAACUAGCUCCACAAAUUUCCACAUCAGCAUUUUUUUUUCUCUACUUUUUAAAUCUGAAUUAAUGUCUUUUGAAUUGUAUGUACCAGUUGAUUUUUUUGAUUGAUAUUAUUGAAUUUUGGUU